RNA transcript from Cebus imitator (Panamanian white-faced capuchin), 1734 nucleotides. It is a transcript of the gene named isocitrate dehydrogenase [NADP] cytoplasmic-like, with no coding region annotated. NCBI's taxonomy places the organism in Eukaryota, Metazoa, Chordata, Mammalia, Primates, Cebidae. The record is from RefSeq and is a predicted model, not a curated record. The transcript has a single exon.
AUGUCCAAAAAUAUCAGUGGCAGUUCUGUGGCAGAGAUGCAAGGAGAUGAAAUGACAUGAAUCAUUUGGGAAUUGAUUAAGGAGAAACUCAUUUUUCCUUAUGUGGAAUUGGAUCUACAUAGCUAUGAUUUAGGCAUAGAGAAUUGUGAUGCCACCAACGACCAGGUCACCAAGUAUGCUGCAGAAACCAUAAAGAAAUAUGACUUUGGUGUCAGGUAGGCCACUAUCACCCCUGAUGAGAAGAAGGUUGAGGAGUUCAAGUUGAAACAAGUGUGAAAUCACCAAACAACACCAUACAAAAUAUUCUGGGUGGCACCAGAAUAUUAAUAUUAAUAUUAAUAUUCUGAAGAUUAAUAUUAAUCUUCAGAGAAGCCAUUAUCUGCAAAAAUAUUCCCAGGCUUGUGGGCGGACGGGUAAAACUCAUCAUCAUAGGUCAUCGUGCUUAUAGGAAUCAAUACAGAGCAACUGAUUCUGUUGUUCCUGGGCCUGGAAAAGUAGAGAUAACCUACACACCAAGUGACAGAACCCAAAAGGUGACAUACCUGAUACUAACUUUGAAGAGGGUAGUGGUGUUGCCACAGGGAUGUAUAAUUAAGAUAAGUCAGUUGAAGGUUUUGCACACAGUUCUUUCCAAAUGGCUCUGUCUAAGGGUUGGCCUAUGUAUCUGAGCACCAAAAACACUAUUCUGAAGAAAUAUGAUGGGUGUUUGAAAGACAUAUUUCAGGAGAUAUAGGACAAGCAGUAUAAGUCCCAGUUUGAAGCCCAAAAGAUCUAGUGUAAGCAUAGGCUCAUCCAUGACAUGGUGGCCCAAGUUAUGAAAUCAGAGGGAGGCUUCUGGGCCUGUAAAAACCAUGGUGGUAACGUGCAGUCAGACUCUGUGGCCCAAGGGUAUGGUUCUCUCAGCAUGAUCACCAGCGUACUGGUUUGUCUAGAUGGCAAGACAGAAGCAGAGGCUGCUAACGCAGCUGUAACCCGUCACUACCACAUGUACCAGAAAGGACAGGAGAUGUCCACCAAUCCCGUUUCUUCCAUUUUCACCCAGACCAGAGAAUUAGCCCACAGAACAAAGCUUAGUAACAAGAAAGAGCUUGCCUUCUUUGCAAAUGCUUUGGAAGAAGUCUGUAUUGCGACAGCUGAGGCUGGCUUCAUGACCAAGGACUUGGCUGCUUGCAUUAAAGGUUUACUCAAUGUGCAACGUUCUGACUACUUGAACACAUUUGAGUUCAUUGAAAAACUUGGAGAAAACUUGAAGAUCACACUAGCUCAGGGCAAACUCUGAGUUCAUACCUGGGCUGAGGAGGAUAAGUGUCCUUUGGUAACUAGGUCUACGGGUUUACAUUUUUCUGUAUCACACUCAAGGAUAAAGGCAAAAUCAAUUUUGCAAUUUGUUUAGAAGCCAGAGUUUAUCUUUUCUAUAAGUUUACAGCCUUUUUCUUAUAUGUACAGUUAUUGCCACCUUUGUGAACAUGGCAAGGGACUUUUUUAAAAUUUUAUUUUAUUUUCUAGUAGCAGCCUAGGAAUUUGGUUAGUACUCAUUUGUAUUCACCGUCACUUUUUCUCAUGUUCUAAUUAUAAAUGACCAAAAUCAAGAAUGCUCCAAAGAGUAAAUGAUAGCCACAAUAUUGUUCCCUAAAAUAUGCAUAAAGUAGAAAUUCACUCCCUUCCCCUCCUACCACCUUCAGCACAGGAAGGUUCUGGCAUCAUACAUGUCCCAUUACGUGAGGUAGAGCUGUA